CAGCAGCCGCGGUAAUACGAAGGUCCCAAGCGUUGUUCGGAAUCACUGGGCGUAAAGGGAGCGUAGGCGGCGCGGUAAGUCAGAUGUGAAAUCUCAGAGCUCAACUCUGAAACUGCAUCCGAUACUGCCGUGCUAGAGUAAUGGAGGGGUAACUGGAAUUCUCGGUGUAGCGGUGAAAUGCGUUGAUAUCAAGAAGAACACCGGUGGCGAAGGCGGCUCUCUGGAAUGCUACUGACACUGAGGCACGAAAGCUGGGGGAGCGAAAGGGAUUAGAUACCCCUGUAGUCCUAGCAGUAAACGGUGCACGCUUGGUGUGAGGGGAUUCGACCCCCCUUGUGCCGGAGCUAACGCGUUAAGCGUGCCGCCUGGGGAGUACGGUCGCAAGACUAAAACUCAAAGAAAUUGACGGGGACCCGCACAAGCGGUGGAGUAUGUGGCUUAAUUCGAUGCAACGCGAAGAACCUUACCUAGGCUUGACAUGCAUCUCUAAGCACGUGAAAGCGUGUGACCCUUCGGGGAUUUUGCACAGGUGCUGCAUGGCCGUCGUCAGCUCGUGUCGUGAGAUGUUGGGGUAAGUCCCGCAACGAGCGCAACCCUUGUGAUAGUGCCCAGCACGUAUGGGUGGGAACUCUAGUCAGACUGCCCAGAUCAACUGGGAGGAAGGUGGGGACGACGUCAGGUCAGUAUGGCCCUUACGCCUAGGGCUGCACACGUAGUACAAUGCUCAGUACAAUGAGAACCGAUACCGCGAGGUGGAGGAAAUCUAUAAAACUGGGCUCAGUUCGGAUUGGAGGCUGCAACUCGCCUCCAUGAAGUUGGAAUCGCUAGUAAUGGGGCAUCAGCUACGGCCCCGUGAAUACGUUCCCGGGUCUUGUACACACCGCCCGUCACAUCAUGGGAGUCGAGUGCUCCAGAAGUGGCCACGCUAACCCGCAAGGGAGGCAGGUCCCCAAGGAGUGUUUGGUAACUGGGGUGAAGUCGUAACAAGGUAGCCGUA
Molecule: ribosomal RNA, 997 nt
Filed under: uncultured Verrucomicrobiota bacterium
Lineage: Bacteria; Pseudomonadati; Verrucomicrobiota
Description: bacterial SSU rRNA
Rfam family: Bacterial small subunit ribosomal RNA
Source: RNAcentral